GAUGAACGCUGGCGGCGUGCUUAACACAUGCAAGUCGAGCGAGAGAGUUCUUCGGAACAAUCUAGCGGCGGACGGGCGAGUAACACGUGGGCAACCUGCCUCAUAGAGGGGAAUAGCCUUCCGAAAGGAAGAUUAAUACCGCAUAACAUCGUUGAAGGGCAUCCUUCGAUGAUCAAAGGAGCAAUCCGCGAUGAGAUGGGCCCGCGGCGCAUUAGCUAGUUGGUGAGGUAACGGCUCACCAAGGCGACGAUGCGUAGCCGACCUGAGAGGGUGAUCGGCCACAUUGGGGCUGGGACACGGCCCAGACUCCUACGGGAGGCAGCAGUGGGGAAUAUUGCACAAUGGGGGAAACCCUGAUGCCGCAACGCCGCGUGAGUGAUGACGGCCUUCGGGUUGUAAAGCUCUGUCUUUGGGGACGAUAAUGACGGUACCCAAGGAGGAAGUCACGGCUAACUACGUGCCAGCCGCCGCAGUAA
This 476-nucleotide ribosomal RNA is filed under the name uncultured bacterium. Its description in RNAcentral is "partial 16S ribosomal RNA". It matches the Rfam family "Bacterial small subunit ribosomal RNA", at positions 28 to 523 of the family's 1533-position model. The record is from RNAcentral.